RNAcentral lists this ribosomal RNA (483 nucleotides) under uncultured bacterium. RNAcentral's name for it is "partial 16S ribosomal RNA". It matches the Rfam family "Bacterial small subunit ribosomal RNA", at positions 30 to 507 of the family's 1533-position model. The record is from RNAcentral.
UUGAACGCUGGCGGCAGGCCUAACACAUGCAAGUCGAGCGGAUGAAGGGAGCUUGCUCCUGGAUUCAGCGGCGGACGGGUGAGUAAUGCCUAGGGAUCUGCCUGGUAGUGGGGGAUAACGUCCGGAAACGGGCGCUAAUACCGCAUACGUCCUGAGGGAGAAAGUGGGGGAUCUUCGGACCUCACGCUAUCAGAUGAGCCUAGGUCGGAUUAGCUAGUUGGUGGGGUAAAGGCCUACCAAGGCGACGAUCCGUAACUGGUCUGAGAGGAUGAUCAGUCACACUGGAACUGAGACACGGUCCAGACUCCUACGGGAGGCAGCAGUGGGGAAUAUUGGACAAUGGGCGAAAGCCUGAUCCAGCCAUGCCGCGUGUGUGAAGAAGGUCUUCGGAUUGUAAAGCACUUUAAGUUGGGAGGAAGGGCAGUAAGUUAAUACCUUGCUGUUUUGACGUUACCAACAGAAUAAGCACCGGCUAACUUCGUG